GUAGUCCACGCCCUAAACGAUGUCAACUGGUUGUUGGUGGGGUUAAACCCAUUAGUAACGAAGCUAACGCGUGAAGUUGACCGCCUGGGGAGUACGGCCGCAAGGUUAAAACUCAAAGGAAUUGACGGGGACCCGCACAAGCGGUGGAUGAUGUGGAUCAAUUCGAUGCAACGCGAAGAACCUUACCUACCCUUGACAUGCCAGGGAGCUCGAUGAGAGUCGAGUGUGCCCGAAAGGGAACCUGGACACAGGUGCUGCAUGGCUGUCGUCAGCUCGUGUCGUGAGAUGUUGGGUUAAGUCCCGCAACGAGCGCAACCCUUGUCACUAGUUGCUACGCAAGGGCACUCUAGUGAGACUGCCGGUGACAAACCGGA
RNAcentral lists this ribosomal RNA (374 nucleotides) under uncultured bacterium. RNAcentral describes it as "bacterial SSU rRNA". It matches the Rfam family "Bacterial small subunit ribosomal RNA", at positions 790 to 1167 of the family's 1533-position model. The record is from RNAcentral.